UAGCUCAGUUGGUUGAGCAUGGAGCUAACAACGCUAAGGUCGCGGGUUCGAUUCCCGU
This 58-nucleotide transfer RNA is filed under the name Apaloderma vittatum (bar-tailed trogon). It matches the Rfam family "tRNA", at positions 8 to 63 of the family's 71-position model. From Rfam's summary of the family: Transfer RNA (tRNA) molecules are approximately 80 nucleotides in length. Their secondary structure includes four short double-helical elements and three loops (D, anti-codon, and T loops). The record is from Rfam by way of RNAcentral. Lineage: Eukaryota; Metazoa; Chordata; Aves; Trogoniformes; Trogonidae.